Molecule: transfer RNA, 61 nt
Filed under: Aleuroglyphus ovatus (brown legged grain mite)
Lineage: Eukaryota; Metazoa; Arthropoda; Arachnida; Sarcoptiformes; Acaridae
Description: tRNA-Trp
Source: RNAcentral
GUCUUUAGGUUAAGUGAAAACCGUACGUCUUCAAAACGUGAGAUUUUUGUAACGGCUUGGG